UGCCAGCAGCCGCGGUAAUUCCAGCUCCAAUAGCGUAUAUUAAAAUUGUUGCAGUUAAAAAGCUCGUAGUUGGAUUUCUGGUUGGGCGCAUUUGGCCCGCUUCGGUUACGAGGUUGAGUGCCGUUUUGCGCCCGCCAUCCUUCUAGAGUACGACUCUCCCUUUACUGGGUUGGGCCGGAAUCUAGAUCAUUUACUUUGAAAAAAUUAGAGUGUUUAAAGCAGGCUUACGCUAUGAAUACAUUAGCAUGGAAUAAUAAUUUAGGACUUUGGUCUUACUUUGUUGGUUUCUAGGACUAAAGUAAUGAUUGAUAGGGAUAGUUGGGGGUGCUAGUAUUCAGCGGCCAGAGGUGAAAUUCUUGGAUUCGCUGAAGACUAACUUAUGCGAAAGCAUUCACCAAGGAUGUCUUCUUUAAUCAAGAACGAAAGUUGGGGGAUCGAAGACGAUCAGAUACCGUCGUAGUCUCAACCAUAAACUAUGCCGACUAGGGGUGAGUGAACGUUGCUUAUUCGACUUCAUUCGCACCUUAUGAGAAAUUAAAGUCUUUGGGUUCCGGGGGGAGUAUGGUCGCAAGGCUGAAACUUAAAGGAAUUGACGGAAGGGCACACCAGGAGUGGAGCCUGCGGCUUAAUUUGACCCAACACGGGAAAACUUACCAGGUCCAGACAUAAUAAGGAUUGACAGAUUGAAGAUCUUUCUUGAUUUUAUGGGUGGUGGUGCAUGGCCGUUCUUAGUUGGUGGAGUGAUUUGUCUGGUUAAUUCCGUUAACGAACGAGACCUCGACCUGCUAAAUAGUUUGGUGAAUUCUCCGGGAUUCAUUUACGACUUCUUAGAGGGACUAUCGGUGAUUUAGCCGAUGGAAGUUCGAGGCAAUAACAGGUCUGUGAUGCCCUUAGAUGUCCUGGGCCGCACGCGCGCUACACUGAUACGUUCAUCGAGCUUACAACCUUGUCUGAGAGGACUGGGUAAUCUUUUUAAACCGUAUCGUGCUGGGGAUAGAUUGUAAUUUUUAUUCUUCAACGAGGAAUUCCUAGUAAACGCUGGUCAUCAACCAGCAUUGAUUACGUCCCUGCCCUUUGUACACACCGCCCGUCGCUACUACCGAUUGAAUGGCUUAGUGAGUUUCAGGGAUUGUUGUAUCUGCGUGGUUCGCCAUUCUGGUACAUCCGAGAACUGAAUCAAACUUGAUCAUUUACAGGAAGUAAAAGUCGUAACAAGGUAUCCGUAGGUGAACCUGCGGAUG
Molecule: ribosomal RNA, 1241 nt
Filed under: metagenome
Description: SSU rRNA
Rfam family: Eukaryotic small subunit ribosomal RNA
Source: RNAcentral